This 283-nucleotide ribosomal RNA is filed under the name Salmonella enterica subsp. enterica serovar Ouakam. Its description in RNAcentral is "partial 16S ribosomal RNA". It matches the Rfam family "Bacterial small subunit ribosomal RNA", at positions 1 to 280 of the family's 1533-position model. Lineage: Bacteria; Pseudomonadati; Pseudomonadota; Gammaproteobacteria; Enterobacterales; Enterobacteriaceae. The record is from RNAcentral.
AAAUUGAAGAGUUUGAUCAUGGCUCAGAUUGAACGCUGGCGGCAGGCCUAACACAUGCAAGUCGAACGGUAACAGGAAGCAGCUUGCUGCUUUGCUGACGAGUGGCGGACGGGUGAGUAAUGUCUGGGAAACUGCCUGAUGGAGGGGGAUAACUACUGGAAACGGUGGCUAAUACCGCAUAACGUCGCAAGACCAAAGAGGGGGACCUUCGGGCCUCUUGCCAUCAGAUGUGCCCAGAUGGGAUUAGCUGGUUGGUGAGGUAACGGCUCACCAAGGCGACGAU